UACGAAGGGGGCUAGCGUUGCUCGGAAUCACUGGGCGUAAAGCGCACGUAGGCGGAUCUUUAAGUCAGGGGUGAAAUCCUGGAGCUCAACUCCAGAACUGCCUUUGAUACUGGAGAUCUCGAGUCCGGAAGAGGUGAGUGGAACUCCGAGUGUAGAGGUGAAAUUCGUAGAUAUCUGGAGGAAUACCGGUGGCGAAGGCGGCAUCCUGGACCGGCAUUGACGCUGAUGAGCGAAAGCUAGGGGAGCAAACGGG
RNAcentral lists this ribosomal RNA (253 nucleotides) under uncultured bacterium. Its description in RNAcentral is "partial 16S ribosomal RNA". It matches the Rfam family "Bacterial small subunit ribosomal RNA", at positions 524 to 776 of the family's 1533-position model. The record is from RNAcentral.